This is a long non-coding RNA of Stylophora pistillata, 815 nucleotides long. RefSeq lists it as uncharacterized. The record is from RefSeq and is a predicted model, not a curated record. NCBI's taxonomy places the organism in Eukaryota, Metazoa, Cnidaria, Anthozoa, Scleractinia, Pocilloporidae.
UUUUCGCGCAGAAUAUUAGCUACGAGAGCGAAGCCUUUUCUAGCUUCGCUAAAUCGGACCACAAGAAAGAUUGAAAGCUGUACGACUUUUACCAUUUUGGUCACAAUCGAGGAAUCAGCUGCUCUAGUGGAAAAAUAUUGAGGCUAUUUUUUACCAGAAAUUUGAAUUUACUACCACAAGUGCAAACUUUCGGGCCAUCUUUUAAAAACCCAAAGCUACAAAUGGCAAGCAAUUUCAGGAUGUUUCUCAUCGUGUGCUUGGUAUCCCUGUGCUUACUGCCCAGUUUGCUAGCGAACCCGAUGCAAGCGGCUUUGGCCAGUGUUCACUGCGAACGCAGAGGUUACACGUUCCCUGUUAGAGUCGUGGGCUGCCAGGAGCGGAUGGUGACUGUCAAUACAUGUCUGGGGACCUGUCUGUCUUUCUCGACGCCAACUGGAUCCAAGUAUGAACAAGUGGAGUCCUGCACUUGCUGUGAGCCGACAAAAAAAGCGACGAUCGAUGUAGGGCUCUGGUGCCAAGACACGAGCAAUCCAGGCAACGUUGUCAAGUAUUUUCAUAAAGUGGAGAGUGUGACUGAGUGUGCAUGUGCUUCUUGUUGAUGUAGCUGAACAAAAACAUUGCAGAAUCCUCAAACCUUCUACGAACAUUAACUGGCUGUAUAAAUCAUGAAUUUAAUUUUCGAUUGACAUUGGUAAAUUUGAGUUAAUUAGGCUGUUUUUUUGAUGUGACGAAAGCAUUCCUUGUCUUGCUGUUACAAUUACAGCCUCGUUCACUUAGAGAUAUAUUCUAAUAUUUUAAUAAAAAUGUAAAAAAGA